RNAcentral lists this ribosomal RNA (467 nucleotides) under uncultured bacterium. RNAcentral describes it as "partial 16S ribosomal RNA". It matches the Rfam family "Bacterial small subunit ribosomal RNA", at positions 28 to 506 of the family's 1533-position model. The record is from RNAcentral.
GACGAACGCUGGCGGCGUGCUUAACACAUGCAAGUCGAACGGAAAGGCCCUGCUGUUGUGGGGUGCUCGAGUGGCGAACGGGUGAGUAACACGUGAGUAACCUGCCCUUGACUUUGGGAUAACUUCAGGAAACUGGGGCUAAUACCGGAUAGGAGCUCCUGCUGCAUGGUGGGGGUUGGAAAGUUUCGGCGGUUGGGGAUGGACUCGCGGCUUAUCAGCUUGUUGGUGGGGUAGUGGCUUACCAAGGCUUUGACGGGUAGCCGGCCUGAGAGGGUGACCGGCCACAUUGGGACUGAGAUACGGCCCAGACUCAUACGGGAGGCAGGAGUGGAGACUAUUGGACAAAGGGCGGAGGCCUGAAGGAGGAACGCCGGGUGCGGGAUGACGGCCUUCGGGUGGUAAACCGCUUUCGCCUGUGACGAAGCGUGAGUGACGGUAAUGGGUAAAGAAGCACCGGCUAACUACGG